Molecule: transfer RNA, 72 nt
Filed under: Ligilactobacillus salivarius
Lineage: Bacteria; Bacillati; Bacillota; Bacilli; Lactobacillales; Lactobacillaceae
Description: tRNA-Glu
Rfam family: tRNA
About the family: Transfer RNA (tRNA) molecules are approximately 80 nucleotides in length.
Source: RNAcentral
GGCCCGUUGGUCAAGUGGUUAAGACACCGCCCUUUCACGGCGGUAACAUGGGUUCACAUCCCGUACGGGUCA